ACCGGCAGCCAUAUCACCCUGUAGCCCAAGCCUGGUUGCCCACUGAAGCUAAGCAGGGCUGAGCCUGGUCAGUACCUGGAUGGGAGACCUCCUGGGAAAACUAGGUUGCUGCUGGAA
Molecule: ribosomal RNA, 117 nt
Filed under: Sinocyclocheilus anshuiensis
Lineage: Eukaryota; Metazoa; Chordata; Actinopteri; Cypriniformes; Cyprinidae
Source: RNAcentral